AGAGUUUGAUCAUGGCUCAGAACGAACGCUGGCGGCAGGCCUAACACAUGCAAGUCGAACGCACCGCAAGGUGAGUGGCGCACGGGUGAGUAACACGUGGGAAUGUACCCUUUGGUUCGGAAUAACGUUUGGAAACGAACGCUAAUACCGGAUGAGCCCUACGGGGGAAAGAUUUAUCGCCAAAGGAGCAGCCCGCGUCUGAUUAGCUAGUUGGUGGGGUAAAGGCCUACCAAGGCGACGAUCAGUAGCUGGUCUGAGAGGAUGAUCAGCCACACUGGGACUGAGACACGGCCCAGACUCCUACGGGAGGCAGCAGUGGGGAAUAUUGGACAAUGGGCGAAAGCCUGAUCCAGCCAUGCCGCGUGAGUGAUGAAGGCCUUCGGGUUGUAAAGCUCUUUCGCACACGACGAUGAUGACGGUAGUGUGAGAAGAAGCCCCGGCUAACUUCGUGCCAGCAGCCGCGGUAAUACGAAGGGGGCUAGCGUUGUUCGGAAUUACUGGGCGUAAAGGGCGCGUAGGCGGCUUAUCAAGUCAGGCGUGAAAGCCCCGGGCUUAACCUGGGAACUGCGCUUGAGACUGUUAGGCUUGAGUACCGGAGAGGUAGGUGGAAUUCCCAGUGUAGAGGUGAAAUUCGUAGAUAUUGGGAAGAACACCAGUGGCGAAGGCGGCCUACUGGACGGUAACUGACGCUGAGGCGCGAAAGCGUGGGGAGCAAACAGGAUUAGAUACCCUGGUAGUCCACGCCGUAAACGAUGUCGGCUAGACGUUGGGGCUCUUAGAGUUUCAGUGUCGCAGCUAGCGCAUUAAGCCGACCGCCUGGGGAGUACGGCCGCAAGGUUGAAACUCAAAUGAAUUGACGG
This 860-nucleotide ribosomal RNA is filed under the name uncultured bacterium. RNAcentral describes it as "bacterial SSU rRNA". It matches the Rfam family "Bacterial small subunit ribosomal RNA", at positions 8 to 916 of the family's 1533-position model. The record is from RNAcentral.